UCGGUUUUUUGUAUCGACCUUUUGAACAUCAUUAUUAUUCGUUGGAAUCGACUUCAUUAAUUUCAUUAUUUUAAUUUGGAUGCUUUCAUUUGCUCUCUCAUCUCACCUUGGUUUGCCUUCGUGCAAGGUUAUCAUGGGGUCAACCCCCAAAAAAAGCAAAAUCUUGCUUCAUUUUUUUCUGUUUUGCUGUUUACCUUUUUUUCAGUGCUUCUACUUUUUUUUCAUUUGCUAUAUUUUACCUGUUCAACAAUACAGGUUAUCAAUUUGAGUUAUGCAUCGGUGUUUUUUGGGUGAUUUUCAAGGUUGUCAGGUUCAUCAUCUUUAUCGCAUCUAUCCUGUUGAUAUUAUGGUUGUGUGCAUCUGUUGAGACAGUUUAUACAACCUUUCUUGUCUUUUGGUUGGCGUUUUUUUUUGUUUGUCUUCUUCUUUUGGUGUCUCUUUAUUUGUGUAUUUGCAUUUCGCUCAUUGCUUUGCCUAACAAGUGCCAAUAAGAGUAUUUGUGUGUCUGCCAUUUAUGAAUGAGUUUUGUGUGCUUUGUUGGUAAUUAACUUGAUGGUUAAAUGCUUUUUUGGUGACUUGGCUUUGCUAAGCUCAAGUACUUGGCGUAACCUUGUUGAUAGGUUUUCGAGGUACUAUGGUUUAAUACACAGAAUUUCAAUGCUUCAACUUGCUGGUGACUCUUAAAGGACCUUUUUCAUUUUGCUCUCACUUCAUUGCCAAUGAUUAGGUUCAUUUGUUGUUUAUUACAUUAUUGUGAUGAACAGUUAAAAUUGAAUCAACGCUUUUUUAUUGUUUAUGGGGAGGAAGAAGACAAUGACAAUUAACAUCAUCCUUUAUUACAGUUGAAGUCUCAAAGAAUUGAAGGUGAUUUGAUUUUAAAACAAUUGAUUCGCAAUACAAGUUGAGAUAAAGGAUAAAGGCCAAAAAAGAUGAGAAAUUGGAAAAUAUCAAAAUUUAUUGUUGUAAAUUGAUUGAUUAUAAUUUAAUGGCUGGUUCCAACAAAAAGCAGUGUUAACACAGAUUGUUGAUUAAAAAGACCAUCAAAUUUA
Molecule: non-coding RNA, 1049 nt
Organism: Tetranychus urticae (two-spotted spider mite)
Lineage: Eukaryota; Metazoa; Arthropoda; Arachnida; Trombidiformes; Tetranychidae
Source: RefSeq, a predicted model, not a curated record